RNAcentral lists this ribosomal RNA (195 nucleotides) under uncultured bacterium. Its description in RNAcentral is "partial 16S ribosomal RNA". It matches the Rfam family "Bacterial small subunit ribosomal RNA", at positions 337 to 524 of the family's 1533-position model. The record is from RNAcentral.
UCCUACGGGAGGCAGCAGUGGGGAAUAUUGGACAAUGGGGGCAACCCUGAUCCAGCCAUGCCGCGUGUGUGAAGAAGGCCUUUUGGUUGUAAAGCACUUUAAGCAGUGAAGAAGACUCCAUGGUUAAUACCCAUGGACGAUGACAUUAGCUGCAGAAUAAGCACCGGCUAACUCUGUGCCAGCAGCCGCGGUAAU